Molecule: transfer RNA, 74 nt
Filed under: Rubripirellula tenax
Lineage: Bacteria; Pseudomonadati; Planctomycetota; Planctomycetia; Pirellulales; Pirellulaceae
Description: Planctomycetes bacterium Poly51 tRNA-Pro
Rfam family: tRNA
About the family: Transfer RNA (tRNA) molecules are approximately 80 nucleotides in length. Their secondary structure includes four short double-helical elements and three loops (D, anti-codon, and T loops). Further hydrogen bonds mediate the characteristic L-shaped molecular structure. tRNAs have two regions of fundamental functional importance: the anti-codon, which is responsible for specific mRNA codon recognition, and the 3' end, to which the tRNAs corresponding amino acid is attached (by aminoacyl-tRNA synthetases). tRNAs cope with the degeneracy of the genetic code in two manners: having more than one tRNA (with a specific anti-codon) for a particular amino acid; and 'wobble' base-pairing, i.e. permitting non-standard base-pairing at the 3rd anti-codon position.
Source: RNAcentral
CGGGCCGUAGCGCAGUUGGUAGCGCGCUUGACUGGGGGUCAAGAGGUCGCAGGUUCAACUCCUGUCGGCCCGAC